AACGAACGCUGGCGGCAUGCCUAACACAUGCAAGUCGAACGAGACCUUCGGGUCUAGUGGCGCACGGGUGCGUAACGCGUGGUAACCUGCCCUUAGGUUCGGAAUAACUCCCCGAAAGGGGUGCUAAUACCGGAUAAUGUCUUCGGACCAAAGAUUUAUCGCCUUUGGGUGGGCCCGCGUUGGAUUAGCUAGUUGGUAGGGUAAAAGCCUACCAAGGCGACGAUCCAUAGCUGGUCUGAGAGGAUGAUCAGCCACACUGGGACUGAGACACGGCCCAGACUCCUACGGGAGGCAGCAGUGGGGAAUGUUGGACAAUGGGCGAAAGCCUGAUCCAGCAAUGCCGCGUGAGUGAUGAAGGCCUUAGGGUUGUAAAGCUCUUUUACCCGGGAUGAUAAUGACAGUACCGGGAGAAUAAGCACCGGCUAACUCCGUG
This 433-nucleotide ribosomal RNA is filed under the name uncultured bacterium. RNAcentral's name for it is "partial 16S ribosomal RNA". It matches the Rfam family "Bacterial small subunit ribosomal RNA", at positions 29 to 507 of the family's 1533-position model. The record is from RNAcentral.